RNAcentral lists this ribosomal RNA (465 nucleotides) under uncultured Klebsiella sp. RNAcentral's name for it is "bacterial SSU rRNA". It matches the Rfam family "Bacterial small subunit ribosomal RNA", at positions 338 to 795 of the family's 1533-position model. Lineage: Bacteria; Pseudomonadati; Pseudomonadota; Gammaproteobacteria; Enterobacterales; Enterobacteriaceae. The record is from RNAcentral.
CCUACGGGAGGCAGCAGUGGGGAAUAUUGCACAAUGGGCGCAAGCCUGAUGCAGCCAUGCCGCGUGUGUGAAGAAGGCCUUCGGGUUGUAAAGCACUUUCAGCGGGGAGGAAGGCGGUGAGGUUAAUAACCUCAUCGAUUGACGUUACCCGCAGAAGAAGCACCGGCUAACUCCGUGCCAGCAGCCGCGGUAAUACGGAGGGUGCAAGCGUUAAUCGGAAUUACUGGGCGUAAAGCGCACGCAGGCGGUCUGUCAAGUCGGAUGUGAAAUCCCCGGGCUCAACCUGGGAACUGCAUUCGAAACUGGCAGGCUAGAGUCUUGUAGAGGGGGGUAGAAUUCCAGGUGUAGCGGUGAAAUGCGUAGAGAUCUGGAGGAAUACCGGUGGCGAAGGCGGCCCCCUGGACAAAGACUGACGCUCAGGUGCGAAAGCGUGGGGAGCAAACAGGCUUAGAUACCCGAGUAGUC